Molecule: ribosomal RNA, 556 nt
Filed under: Aspergillus fumigatus
Lineage: Eukaryota; Fungi; Ascomycota; Eurotiomycetes; Eurotiales; Aspergillaceae
Description: eukaryotic LSU rRNA
Rfam family: 5.8S ribosomal RNA (bases 188-341)
Source: RNAcentral
AUUCGGAGCUGAGGGAGUCUGGGUCCACCUCCCACCCGUGUCUAUCGUACCUUGUUGCUUCGGCGGGCCCGCCGUUUCGACGGCCGCCGGGGAGGCCUUGCGCCCCCGGGCCCGCGCCCGCCGAAGACCCCAACAUGAACGCUGUUCUGAAAGUAUGCAGUCUGAGUUGAUUAUCGUAAUCAGUUAAAACUUUCAACAACGGAUCUCUUGGUUCCGGCAUCGAUGAAGAACGCAGCGAAAUGCGAUAAGUAAUGUGAAUUGCAGAAUUCAGUGAAUCAUCGAGUCUUUGAACGCACAUUGCGCCCCCUGGUAUUCCGGGGGGCAUGCCUGUCCGAGCGUCAUUGCUGCCCUCAAGCACGGCUUGUGUGUUGGGCCCCCGUCCCCCUCUCCCGGGGGACGGGCCCGAAAGGCAGCGGCGGCACCGCGUCCGGUCCUCGAGCGUAUGGGGCUUUGUCACCUGCUCUGUAGGCCCGGCCGGCGCCAGCCGACACCCAACUUUAUUUUUCUAAGGUUGACCUCGGAUCAGGUAGGGAUACCCGCUGAACUUAAGCAUAUC